This is a long non-coding RNA of Pyrgilauda ruficollis (rufous-necked snowfinch), 304 nucleotides long. RefSeq lists it as uncharacterized. The record is from RefSeq and is a predicted model, not a curated record. The transcript has 3 exons. Lineage: Eukaryota; Metazoa; Chordata; Aves; Passeriformes; Passeridae.
CAGGGACACCUGGGGGACAACAUGGGGACAGCUGGGGACAGCUGGGGGACAUGGGGACAUGGGGACAGCUACAUGGGGGACAUGGGCAGUGGCACCAGGGUGGCACACAGGUGACACUCUCCCCUCCCCCCAGGCUACUCGGUGACAGUCGGGGAGUUCAGCGGUGACACCACUCAAGACUUUGUGGCCGGUGUCCCCAAGGGCAACCUCACCUACGGCUACGUCACCAUCCUCAACGGCACCAACAUGAAGUCCCUGUACAACUUCUCGGGGGAGCAGGUGGGGACGGGGGUCUGGGGGUCUG